This 1244-nucleotide ribosomal RNA is filed under the name metagenome. Its description in RNAcentral is "bacterial LSU rRNA". It matches the Rfam family "Bacterial large subunit ribosomal RNA", at positions 1564 to 2817 of the family's 2925-position model. The record is from RNAcentral.
UGAAUACGAGACGCUAAGGCGUCGAAGUAGUGUAUGUCAUACUUCCAAGAAAAGCUUGCACUGUCAUAAGUAAAAAAUGCCUGUACCAUAACCGACACAGGUGGGUAGGUAGAGUAUACUAAGGGGCGCGAGAUAACUCUCUCUAAGGAACUCGGCAAAAUAACUCCGUAACUUCGGGAGAAGGAGUACCUUAUUCUAUAAGGUUGCAAUAACAAGAUCCAAGCAACUGUUUAUCAAAAACACAGGUCUCCGCUAAGUCGUAAGACUAUGUAUGGGGGCUGACGCCUGCCCAGUGCCAGAAGGUUAAAGAAGUCGGUUAGCAUUAGCGAAGCUGGUAACUGAAGCCCUGGUGAACGGCGGCCGUAACUAUAACGGUCCUAAGGUAGCGAAAUUCCUUGUCGGGUAAGUUCCGACCCGCACGAAAGGCGUAAUGAUUUGGAUACUGUCUCGGAGAGGGGCUCGGUGAAAUAGACUUGUCUGUGAAGAUGCGGACUACCUGCACCAGGACAGAAAGACCCUAUGAAGCUUUACUGUAACUUGAAAUUGAAAUUGGACUUUAUUCGCGCAGUAUAGGUGGGAGGUGUUGAUUAUAAUCUUGCGGGAUUAUUGGAGCCAUCAGUGAGAUACCACUCUUGUAAUGUUAGAUUUCUAACUUUGAAUCAUUAUCUGGUCAAAGGACAGUUUCAGGCGGGCAGUUUGACUGGGGCGGUCGCCUCCCAAACGGUAACGGAGGCGUACAAAGGUUUCCUCUGAACGGGUAGAAAUCGUAUCUAGAGUGUAAAGGCAUAAGGAAGCUUGACUGUGAGACCUACAAGUCGAACAGGGACGAAAGUCGGUCUUAGUGAUCUGACGGUACUGAGUGGAAAGGCCGUCACUCAACGGAUAAAAGUUACUCUAGGAUAACAGGCUGAUCUCCCCCAAGAGUUCACAUCGACGGGGAGGUUUGGCACCCCGAUGUCGGCUCAUCGCAUCCUGGGGCGGUAGUACGUCCCAAGGGUUGGGCUGUUCGCCCAUGAAAGCGGUACGCGAGCUGGGUUCAGAACGUCGUGAGACAGUUCGGUCCAUAUCCGGUGUAGGCGUUAGAAUAUUGAGAGGAGCCUUCUUUAGUACGAGAGGACCGAGAAGGACAUACCUCUGGUGUACCAGUUAUCGUGCCAACGGUAAACGCUGGGUAGCUAUGUAUGGAGUGGAUAACCGCUGAAAGCAUCUAAGUGGGAAGCCCACCUCAAGAUAAGUAUUCUCAC